AUAAUGGGUCAGCGACUUAUAUUCUGUAGCAAGGUUAACCGAAUAGGGGAGCCGAAGGGAAACCGAGUCUUAACUGGGCGUUAAGUUGCAGGGUAUAGACCCGAAACCCGGUGAUCUAGCCAUGGGCAGGUUGAAGGUUGGGUAACACUAACUGGAGGACCGAACCGACUAAUGUUGAAAAAUUAGCGGAUGACUUGUGGCUGGGGGUGAAAGGCCAAUCAAACCGGGAGAUAGCUGGUUCUCCCCGAAAGCUAUUUAGGUAGCGCCUCGUGAAUUCAUCUCCGGGGGUAGAGCACUGUUUCGGCAAGGGGGUCAUCCCGACUUACCAACCCGAUGCAAACUGCGAAUACCGGAGAAUGUUAUCACGGGAGACACACGGCGGGUGCUAACGUCCGUCGUGAAGAGGGAAACAACCCAGACCGCCAGCUAAGGUCCCAAAGUCAUGGUUAAGUGGGAAACGAUGUGGGAAGGCCCAGACAGCCAGGAUGUUGGCUUAGAAGCAGCCAUCAUUUAAAGAAAGCGUAAUAGCUCACUGGUCGAGUCGGCCUGCGCGGAAGAUGUAACGGGGCUAAACCAUGCACCGAAGCUGCGGCAGCGACGCUUAUGCGUUGUUGGGUAGGGGAGCGUUCUGUAAGCCUGCGAAGGUGUGCUGUGAGGCAUGCUGGAGGUAUCAGAAGUGCGAAUGCUGACAUAAGUAACGAUAAAGCGGGUGAAAAGCCCGCUCGCCGGAAGACCAAGGGUUCCUGUCCAACGUUAAUCGGGGCAGGGUGAGUCGACCCCUAAGGCGAGGCCGAAAGGCGUAGUCGAUGGGAAACAGGUUAAUAUUCCUGUACUUGGUGUUACUGCGAAGGGGGGACGGAGAAGGCUAUGUUGGCCGGGCGACGGUUGUCCCGGUUUAAGCGUGUAGGCUGGUUUUCCAGGCAAAUCCGGAAAAUCAAGGCUGAGGCGUGAUGACGAGGCACUACGGUGCUGAAGCAACAAAUGCCCUGCUUCCAGGAAAAGCCUCUAAGCAUCAGGUAACAUCAAAUCGUACCCCAAACCGACACAGGUGGUCAGGUAGAGAAUACCAAGGCGCUUGAGAGAACUCGGGUGAAGGAACUAGGCAAAAUGGUGCCGUAACUUCGGGAGAAGGCACGCUGAUAUGUAGGUGAAGUCCCUUGCGGAUGGAGCUGAAAUCAGUCGAAGAUACCAGCUGGCUGCAACUGUUUAUUAAAAACACAGCACUGUGCAAACACGAAAGUGGACGUAUACGGUGUGACGCCUGCCCGGUGCCGGAAGGUUAAUUGAUGGGGUUAGCGCAAGCGAAGCUCUUGAUCGAAGCCCCGGUAAACGGCGGCCGUAACUAUAACGGUCCUAAGGUAGCGAAAUUCCUUGUCGGGUAAGUUCCGACCUGCACGAAUGGCGUAAUGAUGGCCAGGCUGUCUCCACCCGAGACUCAGUGAAAUUGAACUCGCUGUGAAGAUGCAGUGUACCCGCGGCAAGACGGAAAGACCCCGUGAACCUUUACUAUAGCUUGACACUGAACAUUGAGCCUUGAUGUGUAGGAUAGGUGGGAGGCUUUGAAGUGUGGACGCCAGUCUGCAUGGAGCCGACCUUGAAAUACCACCCUUUAAUGUUUGAUGUUCUAACGUGGACCCGUAAUCCGGGUUGCGGACAGUGUCUGGUGGGUAGUUUGACUGGGGCGGUCUCCUCCUAAAGAGUAACGGAGGAGCACGAAGGUUGGCUAAUCCUGGUCGGACAUCAGGAGGUUAGUGCAAUGGCAUAAGCCAGCUUGACUGCGAGCGUGACGGCGCGAGCAGGUGCGAAAGCAGGUCAUAGUGAUCCGGUGGUUCUGAAUGGAAGGGCCAUCGCUCAACGGAUAAAAGGUACUCCGGGGAUAACAGGCUGAUACCGCCCAAGAGUUCAUAUCGACGGCGGUGUUUGGCACCUCGAUGUCGGCUCAUCACAUCCUGGGGCUGAAGUAGGUCCCAAGGGUAUGGCUGUUCGCCAUUUAAAGUGGUACGCGAGCUGGGUUUAGAACGUCGUGAGACAGUUCGGUCCCUAUCUGCCGUGGGCGCUGGAGAACUGAGGGG
Molecule: ribosomal RNA, 2072 nt
Filed under: Escherichia coli
Lineage: Bacteria; Pseudomonadati; Pseudomonadota; Gammaproteobacteria; Enterobacterales; Enterobacteriaceae
Description: partial 23S ribosomal RNA
Rfam family: Bacterial large subunit ribosomal RNA
Source: RNAcentral